UGCGUAGGUGGUCGGGUAAGUCUGAGGUGAAAUCUCCGAGCUCAACUCGGAAACUGCCUUGGAUACUAUCCGGCUCGAGGGUUGGAGGGGGGACUGGAAUUCUCGGUGUAGCAGUGAAAUGCGUAGAUAUCGAGAGGAACACCAGUGGCGAAGGCGAGUCCCUGGACAACUCCUGACGCUGAGGCACGAAAGCUAGGGAGCAAACA
RNAcentral lists this ribosomal RNA (206 nucleotides) under uncultured bacterium. RNAcentral's name for it is "partial 16S ribosomal RNA". It matches the Rfam family "Bacterial small subunit ribosomal RNA", at positions 568 to 774 of the family's 1533-position model. The record is from RNAcentral.